AACAAACGGAAUGCUCGAACAUCCCAUAUCUAAAGCCAAAAUUCUAUUAAUUUUUAAAUUCUUAAAACCCUUUCUUCAUUUCAUCCUAAAGUUUCUCUUUUCUCUUUCGGGUAGAUAAAAUCGAUCAUAAGAAUAACAUAACACGAACAUAUAUCAACAUAACCGAAAAUAAAUAAAUAAAUAAAUAAUAAUAAUAACCUUAUCACAAAUACCAACCAGCCGAAGCUAAGGUUUUAAUAAACGCGAUAUUGAAGAAAAAAGACAACCGGAGUAAAAAUUGACACUCACCUAUAUCGCAAUCAGCAGGGUUAAGAAGAACCGGCGGGUGAGUUGUAUCCGAUUCAGUAACCUUUACUUUCUGUCGUUUACGUCCCGGUUCGGAUCCGUCAGUUCCCGGUGGCUCGCGUUCCACCGACGCCAUUUUUCGCUCGGAUUGUGUUAAGAGUGUUAUUUGAGGAAUGAGACAGAAAUUUUGUGUGUGCGUUCCGGUGCGUGGGUACCGGGAAAAAAAGGGUCCGGAUCUCCUGCGAGAAUUAUUUUGGGGACAUUGGCGGUUAGUCCCAUUAAAAGAAAUCGUGUUUUUGUCCUUCCACGAUUUU
This 599-nucleotide long non-coding RNA is filed under the name Olea europaea (common olive). RNAcentral's name for it is "long non-coding RNA (OEUR_LNC007481)". The record is from RNAcentral. Lineage: Eukaryota; Viridiplantae; Streptophyta; Magnoliopsida; Lamiales; Oleaceae.